RNAcentral lists this unclassified non-coding RNA (2766 nucleotides) under Leguminivora glycinivorella. Its description in RNAcentral is "trans-Golgi network integral membrane protein 2-like, transcript variant X1". Lineage: Eukaryota; Metazoa; Arthropoda; Insecta; Lepidoptera; Tortricidae. The record is from RNAcentral.
CCGUGAGUGUCAUUGUCAUGUUAUAUUUUAUUCACCAUUCAUCAGCAUCAGUAAUUUCAGAAUUUGUGAGUUACAACAUAAAAGAAAGAAUAGUAAAUAGUGUUUAUGAUUAUUUGUGAAAUUACGGAGUGAUUUGCCCAUAAUAAUGUUGCGUUACUCACUAAUAUUGUUAUUAGUUAAUGUUUACGGUCGUAGUUUGGGAGUACCUGUAAAGCAAAACAGUAACGGUAAAACAUUGAUAAGUAACCUGCUGAAUGAUCUCAGCAAAGAAUGCAAGAACGAAUUCUUAAUAAGCCAAAUUGAGAGCAAAAACUUCCACUUGCGAUGUGGAAAUUAACUAUCAUAUUCAUGAUUUGCAAUGCUUGAUGUUUUACGAUGCUAAUCGUCUCCUGUGUAACAACGUUACUGCACCUAAUACAGCCAACUUCGCAACUGAUUUUAAGGCGAAAAUAAAUGAAAAACAAAACGUUUCUGCUUUCUGCAGUGAAGCUCUGCAUUUCACCGUUCCUUCAACAUCUUACUUACGCAUGCUUAAUCUAGUGUUCCAACAUGCUGAUGGCUGCAAAAGAGUUUGCACAGAUGACGACAUAAGUACUGGCGAUACUAACUUCUUUUGCAAAUAUUACAAAUGGUCAUUGUCACAGCUCCAAGUACCACAGAGUUCUAUUCAGGGUUCUGUACCUGUUUCUGCUGGUUCAGGAUCUCCAGGUGAUUUACACAACAAUAAUGCAACAACAACUCAGAUAGUUCAGAAAUCAGAUGUACAGGUCAAAAAGACUUCGGAUACUGUUAAUACUAAUACACAGUUGGUAAAAGUUGAGGAACCAAGUCAACACACAUCAGAAGUGGCUAAGCAAGAGUCAUCUUCGCCUACACAGUUGUCUGGUUCACAAAACCCAGACAUUCCCAGUUUGCCAAGUAAUGUGGAUAAUAAUAAGAAGAGCACUUUAAAACCAGAUGUGAAACAAGACACUGCGGACAAGGUUGGCGAUGCAGAACCUGGUGACACAGCACUGGACCCAAACGAUGCUGGUAAUGAGGCUGGCAUUGAAAACAAUGCUGGGAAUAUUAAGGAUCCAGAUGCAAUGCAACAAUUGGAGACCCCUAACCAUAAGAUAGUUUUGGAUAAUGAAGAUACUGAUGAUACGGGAAUGGAUAUGGAUGAUGAGGGAAAAGACGCCAGUGAUGACGGAGAUGACCCGAUUGUUGGUGAUUUGGAUGUGAAACAAGAACCGGAAGCUAGCUCACAUAAGAGAGUAGAGUCCCAGGUGCCAUUGAACGGGGAUGUGGCCCAGAGAGAUUUUUUCCAGAAUGCUGAUGGGUUCACAGAAGAUGACGACCAUUUCUUCCCCUUCUUCUUAACAGCCGUGAUAGUUGUUGUUGUGUUGUAUGUCUUAUACCACAAUAAGAACAAAGUCGGAAAAAUGUUCUUCGGUCUAAUAGUGGAAGGUCGGCAGCCGGGCCGCCGCCGCAACAGCCGCGGGCACGCCUACCGCCGCCUCGACACCCUCGAGCAAGCGAUGAGCGCCAACACCCCGGCGCCGCCCAGCAAGAUCAUAUACUGAACCCACUAGUCUUACUCGCGUGAGUAUACCACUCGUAAAUAAGGUCAGAGGUAACGAUACUCGAUUGGAUCCCUGUGUGCGUAGCCGAAUGCACAAACGCUCACGAAACGCUACGGGGCCUGUCCCCAUUGUACCUAUUGUUAAAAUUUUAAGUUGUAAUGUGUUGUUUGUUUGUCCGCAAUCCCGUUAUAGAAAAGAGUUACAGAAUUAUGACUAAUGAUAAUCUGACAGUCAUUACAUUAUAACUUUCAACAAUUAUGUCAAGUGAUAGGGAUCCGUUGUCGAUUUUGGCGUCUGCAACGGAUGCUAUUGUAGGUAAAAUCAAACCUAGUCAGUCAGUUUUCAUUUCGUUGCGGACGCACUUUGUGCGCUAGACCUUUAGAACUCACGCUAUGAGUCGUUUUGUAAGUGUGCUGUGCACCGCAUUUUGUUUGGCUAUAUGAAGACAACCUUUGCAGAGUAAACUCGGUAAGUAGGCGUUUCGUAGAAGAUUUGAGCAGUGCUUAAAGUGAAAGUAUCGAUUACAUCUGAGUGACUAUGCCUAUGAAUGGUUGUGGCUUACAUCAUUCUCGAAGUGUUUUAUUCACACGUAUGUAUUGGUAUAUUGCGCUCUUGCGCUAAACAUCGAAGUAUAUUUUGGUGUAAUCUUAUUUUACUAAUUUUCGGGAAUAGUGAUGCAAAUAAAAGAAUACGACUAUAACAUUGCGCUUGAAAGGAAUGCUUCAAAAUGUCGAUAUGAUCAGUAGCGGCAUUUGGCGCCACAGUCAUCAUUUCGAAUAAGUCAUUAUUUAGGUAUUUAUUACAUAUGGCAACUUUGUUUGUUAAUAUUUUCUUAAGUAUUAUUUGUGUUUUGAGUACUAUAGAAGUAUAAUAAAAUAAUCAAGUGUUAAAAUUUUACAAUUUCAUAGAAACCUCUAAAUUGUAGUAGCGUAUACUAUCUUCAAAAGUAAUAAUCCAUGAAGUACAAUAUGUAACAUAGGUAUGCCUUCAUAUUUAAUGCUUUCAUUACGUUGAAACUGUGAUGAAUUUUUGUAUUUUUUUUUAGAUUUGUUAUAGUAUAGUUAAAAGUAUGUUGGUAGGUAUGUAGUAACAUGUAGGUAUAUACCCUUCACCAUGUCAGAACUAAACUGAUGUCUCGUUCAUGUUCGAGAUCAUGUAACAAGUAUAUUUUUGGAUCUCAAUCCGUUCAAGUGGCUGGCCG